Molecule: ribosomal RNA, 253 nt
Filed under: uncultured bacterium
Lineage: Bacteria
Description: partial 16S ribosomal RNA
Rfam family: Bacterial small subunit ribosomal RNA
Source: RNAcentral
UACGUAGGUGGCAAGCGUUGUCCGGAUUUACUGGGCGUAAAGAGCGCGCAGGCGGUCCUUUAAGUCUGAUGUGAAAGCCCCCGGCUCAACUGGGGAGGGUCACGCGAUACUGCUCGACUUGAAGGCAGGAGAGGGAAGUGGAAUUCCCGGUGUAGUGGUGAAAUGCGUAGAUAUCGGGAGGAACACCAGUGGCGAAGGCGACUUCCUGGCCUGUUCUUGACGCUGAGGCGCGAAAGCUAGGGUAGCAAACGGG